Molecule: long non-coding RNA, 1012 nt
Filed under: Triticum aestivum (bread wheat)
Lineage: Eukaryota; Viridiplantae; Streptophyta; Magnoliopsida; Poales; Poaceae
Description: long non-coding RNA (TAES_LNC015702)
Source: RNAcentral
CCAUGUGAGCCAGUAGGACUACAAGUCUACAAGGAUCUACAGUACUGACAUGGCACAGUCUACGUAAGGUAUAAAUCUGUGAGCUGAGAAUGUACAUCACCCCUUGAUCAUUUCUGAAAUGAGAUGUUUCUCAGUGGAUUGAUCUGUGAGCUGAGAGUGUACCGAUUCUCUUCUGCACUAAUCUGAAUUACAUGUGUCUAAUUGGUUAACUGUUGUCCAGGUGAUUUCCAUGAUUUUCAUAUGGAUAUAAGCUUGUGAUUGUUCUUAUUUCCCAGACUAGACCUGACUGUGAGUAUAAGACUUUCUUAUUUCCUCGGUUUGCUAAUCAUGCAGGGGGUGCCUCAGUUUGGUCUGCCGUAGGCCUUCAUCGCUAUUUUGAAUCACAUGCUCCUUUUAGUCGGAGGUGAGGUGCUCAGAUUUGGAAAAUUGGUUACUCUUGUUUUGUUCACUUCCUAACUUGCAAUGAACAAAACAGUCUCUGCAAUAUUUUGUUUUUGUUAUCUUCAUUAUAUGAGCACAAAUAUGUCUAUCAUAAGAUAUGCUAGAGUUGACAACCGGAACUAGCCACUUAAGCAUUAACAUUGUAUAGGCAGUAUAUACAUUAAAACAAUCAAUGGCGGUGCUAAUUUCGGCUUUUUUUAUUUCUGGAGUCAAGAAAUAAACUUUAUUUAAAAUGUUUAUAUAUUCAUCUGAAUUGGAAACAAUCUUGCUGCACCAUUGAAGUUAUCUAAUGAGGGAUACUUCUUUUCUAUUUUAGCGUAUCAAUGGCCCCAGGAACUCGAGUGAGGAACACAUCAUGCCCCUUCAAACUGACAUAUCAAUAUUAUCAUCAUGUAUCGAAGAUACUAGGCACCAUAUGACUUUCUGAUAUAUGUAUAUUCUUAUGCUUAGAAGUUUCCCACUUUAAAAUUAGAUUUAACUCACCAUAUAUAAUGCACUCAAUCCAAUCGAAAAGAUCAAGUAGCAAUUUUCCCAAAACAAUUGUGUUUACACUUGUUCUCCUACUGUUUAG